Molecule: ribosomal RNA, 720 nt
Filed under: Staphylococcus aureus
Lineage: Bacteria; Bacillati; Bacillota; Bacilli; Caryophanales; Staphylococcaceae
Description: bacterial SSU rRNA
Rfam family: Bacterial small subunit ribosomal RNA
Source: RNAcentral
UUUAUGGAGAGUUUGAUCCUGGCUCAGGAUGAACGCUGGCGGCGUGCCUAAUACAUGCAAGUCGAGCGAACGGACGAGAAGCUUGCUUCUCUGAUGUUAGCGGCGGACGGGUGAGUAACACGUGGAUAACCUACCUAUAAGACUGGGAUAACUUCGGGAAACCGGAGCUAAUACCGGAUAAUAUUUUGAACCGCAUGGUUCAAAAGUGAAAGACGGUCUUGCUGUCACUUAUAGAUGGAUCCGCGCUGCAUUAGCUAGUUGGUAAGGUAACGGCUUACCAAGGCAACGAUGCAUAGCCGACCUGAGAGGGUGAUCGGCCACACUGGAACUGAGACACGGUCCAGACUCCUACGGGAGGCAGCAGUAGGGAAUCUUCCGCAAUGGGCGAAAGCCUGACGGAGCAACGCCGCGUGAGUGAUGAAGGUCUUCGGAUCGUAAAACUCUGUUAUUAGGGAAGAACAUAUGUGUAAGUAACUGUGCACAUCUUGACGGUACCUAAUCAGAAAGCCACGGCUAACUACGUGCCAGCAGCCGCGGUAAUACGUAGGUGGCAAGCGUUAUCCGGAAUUAUUGGGCGUAAAGCGCGCGUAGGCGGUUUUUUAAGUCUGAUGUGAAAGCCCACGGCUCAACCGUGGAGGGUCAUUGGAAACUGGAAAACUUGAGUGCAGAAGAGGAAAGUGGAAUUCCAUGUGUAGCGGUGAAAUGCGCAGAGAUAUGGAG